GAUGAACGCUGGCGGCGUGCUUAACACAUGCAAGUCGAACGAGAAGUGAAGACGGAAACCUUCGGGCGGAAGGCUUUAUUUCGAGUGGCGGACGGGUGAGUAACGCGUGGGUAACCUGCCUCAUACAGGGGGAUAACAGUUGUAAACGACUGUUAAUACCGCAUAAGACCACAGCACCGCAUGGUGCGGGGGUAAAAACUCCGGUGGUAUGAGAUGGACCCGCGUUCGAUUAGCCAGUUGGCGGGGUAACGGCCCACCGAAGCGACGAUCGAUAGCCGAUCUGAGAGGAUGACCGGCCACAUUGGGACUGAGACACGGCCCAAACUCCUACGGGGAGCAGCAGUGGGGAAUAUUGCACGAUGGGGGAAACCCUGAUGCAGCGACGCCGCGUGAGUGAAGAAGUAUUUCGGUAUGUAAAGCUCUAUCAGCAGGGAAGAAAAUGACGGUACCUGAGUAAGAAGCCCCGGCUAACUACGUG
Molecule: ribosomal RNA, 478 nt
Filed under: uncultured bacterium
Lineage: Bacteria
Description: partial 16S ribosomal RNA
Rfam family: Bacterial small subunit ribosomal RNA
Source: RNAcentral